CCUACGGGAGGCAGCAGUGGGGAAUAUUGCACAAUGGGGGAAACCCUGAUGCAGCCACGCCGCGUGAGUGAAGAAGUAUUUCGGUAUGUAAAGCUCUAUCAGCAGGGGAGAAAAUGACGGUACCUGAGUAAGAAUCCCCGGCUAACUACGUGCCAGCAGCCGCGGUAAUACGUAGGGUGCCAGCGUUAUCCGGAUUUACUGGGUGUAAAGGGGGCGUAGGUGGCUGCGCAAGUCAGAAGUGAAAGCCCGGGGCUCAACCACGGGACUGCUUUUGAAACUGUGGAGCUAGAGUGCAGGAGAGGCAAGCGGAAUUCCUAGUGUAGCGGUGAAAUGCGUAGAUAUUAGGAAGAACACCAGUGGCGAAGGCGGCUUGCUGGACAGUAACUGACACUGAGGCACGAAAGCGUGGGGAGCAAACAGGAUUAGAUACCCGAGUAGUC
RNAcentral lists this ribosomal RNA (440 nucleotides) under uncultured bacterium. RNAcentral's name for it is "partial 16S ribosomal RNA". It matches the Rfam family "Bacterial small subunit ribosomal RNA", at positions 338 to 795 of the family's 1533-position model. The record is from RNAcentral.